This 253-nucleotide ribosomal RNA is filed under the name uncultured bacterium. Its description in RNAcentral is "partial 16S ribosomal RNA". It matches the Rfam family "Bacterial small subunit ribosomal RNA", at positions 524 to 776 of the family's 1533-position model. The record is from RNAcentral.
UACGUAGGGGGCAAGCGUUGUCCGGAAUUAUUGGGCGUAAAGAGCGUGUAGGCGGUCCGGUAAGUCGGCUGUGAAAGUCCAGGGCUCAACCCUGGGAUGCCGGUCGAUACUGCCGGACUAGAGUUCGGAAGGGGCGAGUGGAAUUCCCGGUGUAGCGGUGAAAUGCGCAGAUAUCGGGAGGAACACCUAUGGCGAAGGCAGCUCGCUGGGACGUUACUGACGCUGAGACGCGAAAGCGUGGGGAGCAAACAGG